This 465-nucleotide ribosomal RNA is filed under the name Vreelandella stevensii. RNAcentral describes it as "partial 16S ribosomal RNA". It matches the Rfam family "Bacterial small subunit ribosomal RNA", at positions 338 to 795 of the family's 1533-position model. Lineage: Bacteria; Pseudomonadati; Pseudomonadota; Gammaproteobacteria; Oceanospirillales; Halomonadaceae. The record is from RNAcentral.
CCUACGGGAGGCAGCAGUGGGGAAUAUUGGACAAUGGGGGCAACCCUGAUCCAGCCAUGCCGCGUGUGUGAAGAAGGCCCUCGGGUUGUAAAGCACUUUCAGUGAGGAAGAACGCCUGGUGGUUAAUACCCAUCAGGAAAGACAUCACUCACAGAAGAAGCACCGGCUAACUCCGUGCCAGCAGCCGCGGUAAUACGGAGGGUGCGAGCGUUAAUCGGAAUUACUGGGCGUAAAGCGCGCGUAGGUGGCUUGAUAAGCCGGUUGUGAAAGCCCCGGGCUCAACCUGGGAACGGCAUCCGGAACUGUCAAGCUAGAGUGCAGGAGAGGAAGGUAUAAUUCCCGGUGUAGCGGUGAAAUGCGUAGAGAUCGGGAGGAAUACCAGUGGCGAAGGCGGCCUUCUGGACUGACACUGACACUGAGGUGCGAAAGCGUGGGUAGCAAACAGGAUUAGAUACCCCAGUAGUC